Molecule: long non-coding RNA, 341 nt
Filed under: Gallus gallus (chicken)
Lineage: Eukaryota; Metazoa; Chordata; Aves; Galliformes; Phasianidae
Description: long non-coding RNA NONGGAT005308
Source: RNAcentral
CACAGGUAACAACAUCAACAUCUGACUUUCUCAGUGGAGAAAUCUUCACAAAUAAUCUAGCAGAAGGAGCAGGAAGCCUUCCAGGCAAAACUGAGGAAACCAGUAAGCCAGAACUGUCAUGGAAGCUGCCUCCAUGUCCCAGAACAGAGCUGCAGGAGGCUCGUGUGUUCCCUGAUCAUGACUGCAGCAGGAAGGCACAGCCAGCCAGCCUGCAUUGCCAAGUCCCACUGACUUAUCCAAGACAGGCAGAAAAUGCAAAUUCAACCUCAGGAGCCAGCAAAAAGCAGCAUUUGCUGGAGGUGACAAAGUGCAAAAUGGAAGAGUGACGACGCAGAGGAAAG